AACGAACGCUGGCGGCGUGGUUUAGGCAUGCAAGUCGAGCGAGAAAGUCCUUCGGGACGAGUACAGCGGCGAAAGGGUGAGUAAUAUAUAGGUAACCUACCUCUUGGACUCGGAUAAUUCCUGGAAACGGGUUGUAAUACGAGAUCGUCCUAUUGGGUCGCAUGGCCCGACUGGUAAAUGGUAGCUCUGCUUCUGCCGAGAGAGGGGCCUAUAUCCUAUUAGCUAGUUGGUGAGGUAAUGGCUCACCAAGGCUUUGUAUGGGUAGCCGGACUGAGAGGUUGGCCGGUCACACUGGGACUGAGACACUGCCCAGACUCCUACGGGAGGCUGCAGUCGAGAAUCUUCCGCAAUGGGCGAAAGCCUGACGGGGGCGACGCCGCGUGAACGAAGAAGGCCUCGG
RNAcentral lists this ribosomal RNA (400 nucleotides) under uncultured bacterium. RNAcentral's name for it is "bacterial SSU rRNA". It matches the Rfam family "Bacterial small subunit ribosomal RNA", at positions 29 to 420 of the family's 1533-position model. The record is from RNAcentral.